RNAcentral lists this ribosomal RNA (468 nucleotides) under uncultured bacterium. Its description in RNAcentral is "partial 16S ribosomal RNA". It matches the Rfam family "Bacterial small subunit ribosomal RNA", at positions 28 to 507 of the family's 1533-position model. The record is from RNAcentral.
GACGAACGCUGGCGGCGUGCUUAACACAUGCAAGUCGAACGGAAAGGCCCUGCUUUUGUGGGGUGCUCGAGUGGCGAACGGGUGAGUAACACGUGAGUAACCUGCCCUUGACUUUGGGAUAACUUCAGGAAACUGGGGCUAAUACCGGAUAGGAGCUCCUGCUGCAUGGUGGGGGUUGGAAAGUUUCGGCGGUUGGGGAUGGACUCGCGGCUUAUCAGCUUGUUGGUGGGGUAGUGGCUUACCAAGGCUUUGACGGGUAGCCGGCCUGAGAGGGUGACCGGCCACAUUGGGACUGAGAUACGGACCAGACUGCUACGGGAGGCAGCAGUGGGGAAUAUUGCACAAUGGGCGGAAGCCUGAUGCAGCAACGCCGCGUGCGGGAUGACGGCCUUCGGGUUGUAAACCGCUUUCGACGGUGACGAAGCGUGAGUGACGGUAAUGGGUAAAGAAGCACCGGCUAACUACGUG